Molecule: long non-coding RNA, 6796 nt
Filed under: Capra hircus (goat)
Lineage: Eukaryota; Metazoa; Chordata; Mammalia; Artiodactyla; Bovidae
Description: lncRNA (ENSCHIG00000002410.1)
Source: RNAcentral
CAGAGACCACCACACCCACAGACCAGCAGACCACCCCCCAGCCCCACCACUGACAGAGACCACCACACCCACAGCCCCACCACUGACAGAGACCACCACACCCACAGCCCCACCACUGACAGAUACCACCACAGGCACAGUCACACCACUGACAACCACCACCACAGGGACCACCACACCCAGAGCCACGCCACUGACAGAGACCCCCAGAAAAACCACUACAGCCACAGUCAUACCACGGACAGAGACCACCACACCCACAGUCACACCACUGACAGAGACCACCACAGAAACCGCCACACGCACAGUCACACCACUGACAAAGACUACAACAGAAACCACCACAGUCACAGCCACUCCACUGACAGAGACAACCAGAGAGACUACCAUAUCCAUAACCCCAAUACAGACGGAGACCACCACACGCACAGCCCCACCACUGACAGAGACCACCUCACGCACAGCCCCACCACCGACAGAGACCACGACAGCCACACCACUGACAACCACCACCACAGAGACCACCACACCCAGAGCCAUGCCACUGACAGAGACCACCACACCCACAGUCACACCACUGACAGAGACCACUACAAAAACCACUACACCCACAGCCACACCACUGACAAAGACUACAACAGAAAGCACCACAGUCACAGCAACUCCACUGACAGAGACAAUCAGAGAGACUACCACACCCACAGCCACACCACUGACAAAGACCACCACAGCCACACCACUGACAAAGACCACCACAGCCACACCAUUGACAAAGACCACCACAGCCACACCACCGACAACCACCACCACAGGGACCACCACACCCACAGCCCCACCACUGACAGAGACCACCAGAGCCACAUCACUGACAACCACCACCACAGAGACCACCACACCCACAGCCCCACCACUGACAGAGACCACCACAGCCACAUCACUGACAACCACCCCCACAGAAACCGCCACACGCACAGUCACACCACUGACAAGGACUACAACAGAAUUUACCAUAGUCACAGCCACUCCACUGACAGAGACAACCAGAGAGACUACCAUAUCCACAGCCCCAAUUCUGACAGAGACCACCACACACACAGCCCCACCACCGACAGAGACCACCGCAGCCACACCACUGACAACCAUCACCACAGAGACCACCACACACACAGCCCCACCACUGACAGAGACCACUACAAAAACCACUACACCCACAGCCACACCACUGACAAAGACCACCACACCCACAGUCACACCACUGACAGAAACCACCACAGAAACCGCCACACGCACAGUCACACCACUGACAAAGACUACAACAGAAAGCACCACAGUCACAGCCACUCCACUGACAGAGACAACCAGAGAGACUACCACACCCACAGCCCCACCACUGACAGAGACCACCACAGCCACACCACUGACAACCACCACCACAGGGACCACCACACCCACAGCCCCACCACUGACAGCGACCACCACAGCCACACCACUGACAACCACCACCACAGGGACCACCAUACCCACAGCCCCACCACUGACAGAGACCACCACAGCCACACCACUGACACCAGACAGGAACCACACAGAGCAAGAAAAACCACUACACCCACAGUCAUACCACUGACAGAGACCACCACACCCACAGUCACACCACUGACAGAGACCACCACAGAAACCGCCACACGCACAGUCACACCACUGACAAAGACUACAACAGAAACCACCACAGUCACAGCCACUCCACUGACAGAGACAACCAGAGAGACUACCAUAUCCACAGCCCCAAUACUGACGGAGACCACCACACGCACAGCCCCACCACCGACAGACACCACCACCCUCACAGCCCCGCCACUGACAGAGACCACCACACCCACAGCCCCACCACUGACAGAGACCACCACACGCACAGCCCCACCACUGACAGAGACCUCCACAGCCACACCACUGACAACCACCACCACAGAGACCACCACACCCACAGCCCCACCACUGACAGAGACCACCACAGCCACACCACUGACAACCACCACCACAGAGACCACCACACCCACAGCCCCACCACUGACAGAGACCACCACAGGCACAGUCACACCACUGACAACCACCACCACAGGGACCACCACACCCAGAGCCACGCCACUGACAGAGACCACCACACCCACAGUCACACCACUGACAACCACCACCACACCCACAGCCCCAUCACUGACAACCACCACCACACCCACAGCCAUACCACUGACAAAGGCUACAACAGAAACCACCACAGUCACAGCCACUCCACUGACAGAGACAAUCAAAGAGACUACCAUAUCCACAGCCCCAAUACUGACAGAGACCACCACACGCACAGCCCCACCACUGACAGAGACCACCACAGCCACACCACUGACAACCUCCACCACAGAGACCACCACACCCACAGCCCCACUACUGACAGAGACCACCACAGCCACACCACUGACAACCACCACCACAGAGACCACCACACCCACAGCCCCACCACUGACAGAGACCACCACAGCCACACCACUGACCAUCACCAGCACAGAGACCACCACACCCACUGCCCCACUACUGACAGAGACCACCACAGCCACACCACUGACAACCACCACCACAGAGACCACCACACCCACAGCCCCACCACUGACAGAGAUCACAGCCACACCACUGACAACCACCACCACAGAGACCACCACACCCACAGCCCCACAACUGACAGAGACCACCACAGCCACACCACUGACGACCACCACACCCACAGCCCCACCACUGACAGAGACCACCACAGCCACACCACUGACAACCACCACCACAGGGACCACCACACCCAGAGCCACGCCACUGACAGAGACCCCCAGAAAAACCACUACACCCACAGUCAUACCACUGACAGAGACCACCACAGAAACCGCCACACGCACAGUCACACCACUGACAAAGACUACAGCAGAAACCACCACAGUCACAGCCACUCCACUGACAGAGACAACCAGAGAGACUACCAUAUCCACAGCCCCAAUACUGACAGAGACCACCACACGCACAGCCCCACCACUGACAGAGACCACCACAGCCACACCACUGACAACCACCACCACGGAGACCACCACACCCAUAGCUCCACCACUCACAGAGACCACCACAGCCACACCACUGACCACCACCAUCACAGAGACCACCACACCCACAGCCCCACCACUGACAGAGACCACCAAAAAAACCACCACACCCACAGUCAUACCACUGACAGAGACCACCACACCCACAGUCACACCACUGACAGAAACCACCACAGAAACCGCCGCACGCACAGUCACACCACUGACAAAGACUACAACAGAAACCACCACAGUCACAGCCUCUCCACUGACAGAGACAACCAGAGAGACUACCAUAUCCACAGCCCCAAUACUGACGGAGACCACCACACGCACAACCCCACCACCGACAGACACCACCACCCCCACAGCCCCACCACUGACAGAGACCACCACACGCACAGCCCCACCACUGACAGAGACCACCACAGCCACACCACUGACAACCACCACCACAGAGACCACCACACCCACAGCCCCACCACUGACAGAGACCACCACAGGCACAGUCACACCGACAACCACCACCACAGGGACCACCACACCCAGAGCCACGCCACUGACAGAGACCACCACACCCACAGUCACACCACUGACAACCACCACCACACCCACAGCCCCAUCACUGACAACCACCACCACACCCACAGCCACACCACUGACAAAGGCUACAACAGAAAUCACCACAGUCACAGCCACUCCACUGACAGAGACAAUCAGAGAGACUACCAUAUCCACAGCCCCAAUACUGACAGAGACCACCACACACACAGCCCCACCACUGACAGAGGCCACCACAGCCACACCACUGACAACCACCAUCACAGAGACCACCACACCCACAGUCACACCACUGACAGAGACCACCAUACCCACAGCCCCACCACUGACAGAGACCACUACAAAAACCACUACACCCAUAGCCACACCACUGACAAAGGCUACAACAGAAACCACCACAGUCACAGCCACUCCAGUGACAGAGACAAUCAGAGAGACUACCACACCCACAGCCACACCACUGACAGAGACCCAUACAUCCACAGUCACACCACUGACAACCACCACCACAGGGACCACCAGACGCACAGUCACACCACUGACAAAGACUACAACAGAAUCCACCACAGUCACAGCCACUCCACUGACAGAGACAACCAGAGAGACUACCAUAUCCACAGCCCCACCACUGACAGAGACCACCACAGCCACACCACUGACAACCACCACCACAGAGACCACCACACACACAGCCCCACCACUGACAGAGACCACCAGAAAAACCACCACACCCACAGUCAUACCUCUGACAGAGACCAGCACAGAAACCUCCACACGCACAGUCACACCACUGACAGAGACUACAACAGAAACCACCACAGCCACACCAGUGACAAAUACCACCACAGGGAUCACCACACCCACAGACACACCACUGACAAAGACUACCACACCCACAGUCCCACCACUGACAAAGACCACCACAGGUACCACUCAAGCCCAAAACUCGGUCAGCACAGUGAACUUCACAGCCCCAAUAUCACACUCUACUUCAGCCAUCCUCCCUGUGACCACUUCUCCAGCACUCAGCACUAUCUCCCAUACAUCCACCAGUAGAGGCACUGGGACACCCAUGACACGCACUACAACAGCCGCCCCCACUAGGCCACACAUGCCAUUCACCACUCACUCCCGUGCCACCGUUUCUGUCCAUACCACCUCUCACACAACAGCUCUGCCAGCAGGAACAUCCUUCCGGCCCACCACCACCCAUUCCACCCCAUCACAUCCAGAGACCCUUCCCGUCCACGUGUCAACAUCUGUGACUUCCACCUCUCACCGAGUCAUCACCCCAACUGAGUCCCAUGCUACCUACUCCACCACAAAGCCUACUGGCACCCCAACGCCAUUGACACACAUCCUGGUCACAUCCACGGCACCCACAUCCAUGUCCUCACUGUCGACAACAACAACAGGGAGCACCACACCCACAACCCUGCCACUCACAAAGACCACAACAGGGACCACUCAGGCCCAGAGCCCGGUCAGCACGGUGCCAGCACAAAGCUCUAGCUUCCCCUCUCCAUCAUCUUCUCCGGCUUCUCUGAACCCAAGCCGAAGUCCUCUAACCACUUCUGUUUCCGUGUCGACUCUGCCCCAUUACCCCCCUUCUUCCACUGUCUCGACCCCCUCCUCCUCGCCCACUGCUUCCUCUCCUCCUCCUCACGGGUCCUCGAACACCUCUCCUUUGAUAUCAUCUUCCCCCUCCCCUUCUGCAGUCUCCACUUCACACAGCAUCCCAAGUGUCAGCUCAGCUCCACACCGUCCCUCGCCCUCUGCACCUCUGACCGAGUCACAGACAGCAUCCCUGCUGACCAGCCCCCCUUCCCCCGCCGCCUCCACACCCAUCAGGCCCUCCCUCUCACCUCCAUCAGCUCCGACGCUGUCCCCUGCCCCCACUGUUAGUACCGUCAUCCUGUCUACACCCCGGACCACAGUCAGCAGCCCCACCUCCUCCGUCCCGUCCUCUCAGUCCACCACCGCACAGGCCACCUCUCUCACCACCCAAACCCCCACCCACGGCCUCCUGUCUUCUACGCUGGGCGUGACAGCCGUCCCAAGUUCUCCAGCCACCAACCUCACCACCAGACAGCCGAGUACCACCAGGCUGCAGACUACCGUGUUCCUGGCCAGCUCCAUCACUGCACACGAAAGCUCCUUCCUCCCCACCGCCGGGUCUGUGUCCACAGAGAGCCAGUCCAUCUCCACCUUUGCUACAUCUCUUCCCAGCUCUGCAGGUACUGAGACAGGCAGACCAGAGACACCUCCGUCCACAGGGGCCUGCAGCGUGAAGGAGUCGGAGGAAGAAGUCACUUUCCAGGGGUGCACGGCCAACAUCACGGUGACCCGCUGCGAGGGUGUGUGCGCCUCCUCGGCCAGCUUCGACAUGGACACCAUGCAAGUAGCCACCACCUGCAGCUGCUGCCGCCCUGUCAGCUCCUACGAGGCGGAGCUCGUGCUGCCCUGCACGGACCCUGCGGCGUGGGGGCAGCAGCUGGUGCUCACGGUGCAAGUGUUCAGCAGCUGUGCGUGCUGCCGCCAGCGCUGUGGAGACUAGAGCUCCAUCCACAAAACCGCCCGACACGCUGGGCCCCGCAGCCCCUUCCGAGGCACAGCCGUGGCCUCCGAGAGCCCUCGGAGGUGGCUCACCCGGGCCGCCGGAGAGAAAGGGGGUGCGGGCGGGGGUCCUGCAGACCCCGACGGGCCCCAGCAGGCUGCACGGGACUGGCUGGCCUCCGGGGCCACACAGGGCGCUGCCUGCCAUGCCCACUGCUCGUGCACAGCCUCCAGUCCUGCUGGGACUAAGACCGGGGGCAGAGCAGCACGGAAGGCUGUCCAGAAGGGGCUCCUGGGGAGGCCGGGCCCCCGAGCAGAGGGUCGGGGAGAGACACAGGUCACAGCAUGCAGAGGGAAGCGAAGGGGGGCACCCCACCUGCCUGCCGACAGGGCUCACCCUGGCGAGGGGGCACCCGGGCACCACACCCUGGCGAACAGACGGCAAUAAACUGGCCCUGGUCAAAGCACAAAGGCUCGCAGACUCCUGUUGGCUCCCGCGCCCGCGCACUCCUAAGUUCCCAGACCCACUCCGGGUCCACGGCACUGGCCCAACACCAGUCUAGGCCCAGAAG